This 382-nucleotide ribosomal RNA is filed under the name uncultured bacterium. RNAcentral's name for it is "bacterial SSU rRNA". It matches the Rfam family "Bacterial small subunit ribosomal RNA", at positions 92 to 468 of the family's 1533-position model. The record is from RNAcentral.
UUAGCGGCGGACGGGUGAGUAACACGUGGGUAACCUGCCCAUAAGACUGGGAUAACUCCGGGAAACCGGGGCUAAUACCGGAUAACAUUUUGAACCGCAUGGUUCGAAAUUGAAAGGCGGCUUCGGCUGUCACUUAUGGAUGGACCCGCGUCGCAUAGCUAGUUGGUGAGGUAACGGCUCACCAAGGCAACGAUGCGUAGCCGACCUGAGAGGGUGAUCGGCCACACUGGGACUGAGACACGGCCCAGACUCCUACGGGAGGCAGCAGUAGGGAAUCUUCCGCAAUGGACGAAAGUCUGACGGAGCAACGCCGCGUGAGUGAUGAAGGCUUUCGGGUCGUAAAACUCUGUUGUUAGGGAAGAACAAGUGCUAGUUGAAUAAG